CGUAGGGUGCGAGCGUUAAUCGGAAUUACUGGGCGUAAAGCGUGCGCAGGCGGUUUUGUAAGACAGGCGUGAAAUCCCCGGGCUCAACCUGGGAACUGCGCUUGUGACUGCAAGGCUAGAGUACGGCAGAGGGGGUGGAAUUCCACGUGUAGCAGUGAAAUGCGUAGAGAUGUGGAGGAACACCAACUGGCGAAGGCAGCCCCCUGGGUCGAUACUGACGCUCAUGCACGAAAGCGUGGGUAGCAAACAGGAUUAGAUACCCUGGUAGUCCACGCCCUAAACGAUGUCAACUAGGUGUUGGGUGGGUAAAACCAUUUAGUACCGGAGCUAACGCGUGAAGUUGACCGCCUGGGGAGUACGGCCGCAAGGUUA
This 372-nucleotide ribosomal RNA is filed under the name uncultured organism. RNAcentral describes it as "bacterial SSU rRNA". It matches the Rfam family "Bacterial small subunit ribosomal RNA", at positions 526 to 896 of the family's 1533-position model. The record is from RNAcentral.